UGGCGGCACUAGCGCGGUGGUCCCACCUGACCCCAUGCCGAACUCAGAAGUGAAACGCCGUAGCGCCGAUGGUAGUGUGGGGUCUCCCCAUGUGAGAGUAGGAACUGCCAGGCA
RNAcentral lists this ribosomal RNA (114 nucleotides) under Klebsiella pneumoniae. The record is from RNAcentral. Lineage: Bacteria; Pseudomonadati; Pseudomonadota; Gammaproteobacteria; Enterobacterales; Enterobacteriaceae.